This 132-nucleotide small nuclear RNA is filed under the name Cervus hanglu yarkandensis (Yarkand deer). RNAcentral's name for it is "U2 spliceosomal RNA (ENSCHYG00000021721.1)". It matches the Rfam family "U2 spliceosomal RNA". From Rfam's summary of the family: U2 is a small nuclear RNA (snRNA) component of the spliceosome (involved in pre-mRNA splicing). The record is from Rfam by way of RNAcentral. Lineage: Eukaryota; Metazoa; Chordata; Mammalia; Artiodactyla; Cervidae.
AUCGCUUCUCGGCCUUUUGGCUAAGAUCAAGUGUAGAAAAAUAGAAUCUACCAAGAUGAGGUUUUUUUUUUUUAAUGAUUUAAUAUUACAAUCUGUCUGAUACCAGUUACCAUUCGUUUCAGUUUAGCCAAG